This 220-nucleotide ribosomal RNA is filed under the name uncultured bacterium. RNAcentral's name for it is "partial 16S ribosomal RNA". It matches the Rfam family "Bacterial small subunit ribosomal RNA", at positions 114 to 334 of the family's 1533-position model. The record is from RNAcentral.
CACGUGGGUAACCUGCCUUGCAGAGGGGGAUAACAGUUUGAAAAGACUGCUAAUACCGCAUAAGCACACAGUACCGCAUGGUACGGGGUGAAAAGAUUUAUCGCUGUAAGAUGGACCCGCGUCUGAUUAGCUAGUUGGCAGGGUAACGGCCUACCAAGGCGACGAUCAGUAGCCGACCUGAGAGGGUGAUCGGCCACAUUGGGACUGAGACACGGCCCAA